Molecule: non-coding RNA, 115 nt
Organism: Triticum aestivum (bread wheat)
Lineage: Eukaryota; Viridiplantae; Streptophyta; Magnoliopsida; Poales; Poaceae
Source: Rfam
AUACUACUCCCUCCAUUCCUAAUUACUUGUCGCAAGUAUGGACGUAUCUAGAUGUAUCUUAGUUCUAGAUACAUCCAUUUCUGUGACGAGUAAUUUGGAACGGAGGGAGUAUAAU